Nycticebus coucang (slow loris) is the source of this 3409-nucleotide RNA transcript. It is a transcript of the gene named nucleophosmin/nucleoplasmin 3, with no coding region annotated. The record is from RefSeq and is a predicted model, not a curated record. The transcript has 5 exons. NCBI's taxonomy places the organism in Eukaryota, Metazoa, Chordata, Mammalia, Primates, Lorisidae.
AUUUAGGCCUAGGCCAUGACCAUUUUGGGCACAAUAGCCUAAUUUUAGGAAUCCAUCUAUUGCAAACUACAGUCACUUCUGGAAAUAAACCUGAAUAGCUGGUCAGCAUGUGAAAUGUUGGUUUUGACAUCUGUUAAGGGACUGAAUGGUCCCAAUUUGCCUUAGGUCAGUUGUCCUUUAAUCUCAAGACUGGUUACUACUGGUUUUAUUAAAUUAGAGUCUUUAAUUCUUGCAUGUUUGUAUCUAGUUUUUAAAAGAAAGAAUGAGCACAUUUUUAACCAAUGAUUUAUGGCUACCCUUUUAUGUAUUUUCAUUUAGAUUUAUUUUUAAGGGUUCUGAGCAUGAGGCUGGCGGGUAAUCUCUUUAUAGGAUUCAUUUUUUCAUAAUGGCUGCCUGACUUUUUCAUAGAUUUAUAACAGCAUUUUGUUAUCUUGCUUCCCUGCAGUUUAACUUUGUGAGGGAAAGGGAGUAAAGAGAAGUAAACUUGAAAACACAUUUUCCUUCAUAGAGCUCCACCAGUGUGAGCUUUGAAUGAGUCUUAAAGCAUUGUACUUAGUGACUUCCAACCAGGACCUAUGAGUGUGCACUGAAUGGGUGAGAAGGGAAGGAAGGUUGCCUCUUUAUUUUUUAGGGUAGAAAGAAUAUCUGUGUUGGAAAGCUGGAACCAAGUUUGCAUUUUUGAGGACUAAGAUGAAGAAGGGAAGCUCCUUACUAGAUAUUAAUGCAUCUGAAUGUUACCCAAUUUUCUUGAAUAUAUCUUUAACACUAGUGGACAAUUCUAGUAUUUUAUCUGGAGGGUUUCAGGAUUGCCCUCAUAUGGAAUCAGGACUUUUAGCAAGUUUGCUUUUGGUUUUAUCUUGGCUUUUAAUAAUCACUUUGGCUGGUCUUUUGGUCACAGGUGUUAACUGUGAAACAGAUGCCCAGGUAUAAACUUUUCAUCACUCUUAAGAUCAUAAAGUACUACUAUUCCAUGAUUAUGAAUAUUUAUUAGGGUUGGAAUGACAUGUCAUUGAUUGUUUCGAUCACAGCUCAGUUCCUGUAGAAAAUGAACUGUAAAACUAUCUGAAGACCAUGCAAGAGGCAAAAUAAAACUUGAAGUGAACGAGUGUGUUGUACUCCAUGAACCUACUUUCCGUAUGCUCCCUACCCUUUUUCAUGCCUCACCAACAAGCAAGUUAUGCUUCAGCACAACUGUUCUUAGAGUGGCUCUUAAGUCAGCCCUCACCUACACUUUCAUUACCAGUAAAGGACUUCCAGACUUGCAAGGCAAAAGCUAAGAGGAGGAGACUAUAGAUGUUAGUCUCAUGACCUACCCUCUUUGCCAUAGUUUAACCCUGGUGUGAAUAGGGCUUCCAGUUUGUGACUGCCAUCUAAUAGGAUAAGAAGAAACACAGUUUGCCUGAUUCUUUAGUCAAAAGAUGAAAGAUGGAAAAAUGGCCUAUGACAGAAAAUAUAAGGCAGAUGGAUGUACCUGGGCUGGUUUGAAAGUUAAAAAAAACCUGGGGGGUUGCCAGGACUAACAGUUGAGUACCACAUGUUAACUAGUUGCUCUACCAGCACGUGCUAGCAUCAAAUCAGCUAAAGCUUAAUGACAAGUUGUGGGUCAUUAGACCAGGAAGCAUGGCUAAAAAAGGUUUAAGCUCAGAGGACAGAAGAGUUUCGGUGGAAAUUCUUAAGAGUUGGAAGUCUUCCUUAAGGCUCCCGGUCUCUUGGAACAAAGACAAGUCUGAGCUCAUUUCCUUUGCUUUUACAAGGAGCAGUCCUAAAUCCGAUGCUGUAUGCUGUUGUGCUGUUUGCUGGGGAGGAGUGGGUAAGAUUUACAAAUUUAUAUCUACUGCGUGCUUACCCUGGGGUUGGAAGAGUGGGAAAUAACACUAUGUCUAGAUAAGGGGGUGUGGGGAGCUGUAGAAAAUGGACGCCCUCGUGAUCGUGGAAAUGAGCAAGGACAUUAACAUUAAUCUUAAAUCCAUUGCUCUGUGCUGUUAUCCCUUUCUGCAGUCUUGACAGGUUUGAGCUGCUGGGCGGAAAAAACGCUAAGACCCUUGGUGCUUUUCCCCUGUCUGUACUGAGCGUCUCCUUUAAAGGGCGGGGCCGGAACUGGCCUAGGGUUCCUCGCUUUGUACGUGUCGGGGGCGGAGUUUAGAGACCGCCUUUGCAGCAUGGCCGUCGGUACUGCUGCCGCCUUAGCGUUUUUCAGUCAGGAAAGCCGAGUCCGAGCCGAGGGCGUCGGGGGUCUGCGGGUCCCGGCCCCAGUCACUAUGGACAGUUUUUUCUUCGGCUGUGAGCUUUCCGGCCAUACCCGCUCUUUCACCUUCAAAGUAGAGGAGGAUGAUGCGGAGCACGUGCUGUCAUUGACCAUGCUCUGCCUCACUGAGGGGGCCAAAGACGAGUGUAAUGUGGUAGAAGUUGUGGCCCGGAACCAUGACCACCAGGAGAUUGCAGUGCCUGUGGCCAACCUCAAGUUGUCCUGCCAGCCCAUGCUCAGCCUAGAUGACUUCCAGCUCCAACCACCUGUAACAUUCCGCCUGAAGUCAGGCUCUGGUCCUGUGCGGAUCACUGGGCGGCAUCAGAUUGGUGAGAGGAGGGGUGGGCCCUCUUCUUUGCCUCCAGUGGACUCUCAUCAGGUCCCCCCUCCACUCCACACUUCUGCCCCAUCCCAGUCUCAUCUCCCAGCUCAGCCCCAAUGCAAACCUGCAUGCCCUCCUGUGCUGUGCCCUGUACUUUCUGUCCUACUCAAGCCUACCUCCUUCAUGGAACCUGUCCCAGUUUCUCCAGCUACAGUGAUGUGGACUCUUUUAAGCUCUCUCUUGCCCAGUUUAGUGCCUGAGGUUCUUCCCACCUAGACUAUAAGCUUUGGGAGACCAGAGUUCCUGCAAGACUGUCACCAUAGACCGUAAGUAAGUGUGGUGUGAAAGGGGCCACCUCCCCCUACUUCCUUGUGUGUCCAUCAGUUACUAUAAGCAAUGAUAUUUCUGAGGAAGAGGAGAGUGAAGAGGAGGCUGAGUUGUGUCCCAUCCUUCCUGCCAAAAAGCACAGGGGCAAGCCCUAGCACUCCUUGGUCAGCCAGCUGCCUGCUACCUGCGCCAUGCACCAUGUUCCUGGACAAGUUUCAAGAAUUUUAAAGUGUUUCUUCUUCACUUGAAGAGAGUUUGGGGUGGGGUUUGGUUUGAGGGACUUGAGCCUGAGCUAGGAAAGGGGCCUGUUCUCCAUAGGGACCUGGUAUUCUGGUUGUGUGCCAUGCCAGGGGCUUCCCUUUUCUCUAGGGGUGGGAGGAAUUCUGAACUUUUAUCCUGAUCAUCCCUCCCUUCCCACCUGCCUAUGAGAAUUGGAGGUUAGUGUCUGGAGGUCAGAACUACAUGUUUUUAGCACUUUUUACAUAUUUGGAUGAAGGUUGAAAUAAAGUGCUGUG